CCUACGGGUGGCAGCAGUCGAGAAUCAUUCACAAUGGGGGAAACCCUGAUGGUGCGACGCCGCGUGGGGGAAUGAAGGUCUUCGGAUUGUAAACCCCUGUCAUGUGGGCGCAAAUUAAAAAGAUAGUACCACAAGAGGACGCGACGGCUAACUCUGUGCCAGCAGCAGCGGUAAUACAGAGGUCUCAAGCGUUGUUCGGAAUCACUGGGCGUAAAGCGUGCGUAGGCUGUUUCGUAAGUCGUGUGUGAAAGGCGCGGGCUCAACCCGCGGACGGCAUAUGAUACUGCGAGACUAGAGUAGUGGAGGGGGAACCGGAAUUCUCGGUGUAGCAGUGAAAUGCGUAGAUAUAGAGAGGAACACUCGUGGCGAAGGCGGGUUCCUGGACAUUAACUGACGCUGAGGCACGAAGGCCAGGGGAGCGAAAGGGAUUAGAUACCCUUGUAGUC
Molecule: ribosomal RNA, 446 nt
Filed under: uncultured bacterium
Lineage: Bacteria
Description: partial 16S ribosomal RNA
Rfam family: Bacterial small subunit ribosomal RNA
Source: RNAcentral